GUUCAUUAAAAAUUACUGACAUGAAGCAGAUUAAUAGGAGAAAAGUAUACAAAACUAUUUAAUGUGUAUACAUAGGAAAAUCACUGAGUGAUUUCCUAUCCCACAGCAUGGUUCAGGAAAAGAGAAAUUCUGUUGAGUGGAUUACUAGGAAGGAUAAAUAGAUCAGGAAACAGAAAUUAACUUGUACAUUAUCUUGUGAAAGAUUCUGUUCAGGUGUGGUUACACUUUUGGUAUUAUAAGGAGAGGAACAAAAACUUUUUUUUCUUUUGUUGGGUCUGAUCUUAGGUAGAUAAAGGCUUUGGGAGAAUCAGAGGGAAGGGGAAGGCCAGAGACAGCUUGAAGCUUCUUCAGUUCAGCAUGUCAAAAUGCCACAUUUUGGGCUAUCAACUUCUGUAUUAGUCUAUUGUGCACUGCUAUAAAGGAAUACCUGAGACUGAGUAAUUUAUAAAGAAAAAAGGUAUAUUUGGCUCAUGGCUCUGCAGGCUAUACAAGCAUUGCACCAGUAUCUGCUUGGUUUCUAUUGAGGCCUGAGAAAGCUUUUACUUUUGGCAGAAGGCAAAGGCAGAGCAGGUGUGCUCGCAGGCAUGUCACGUGGUGAGGGAGGGAAAAAGAGAGUGGGGGAGGUGCCAGCCUCCUGCUCUUGAGUGAACUAACAGAGCAAUAACUCACUCAUUAUCCUGGGUAGGGCAUAAAGCCAUUCACGAGGGAUCUGCCCCUAUGACCCAAACACCUCUUACCAAGUCCCACCUCUAAUAUAUUGGAAAUCACAUUUCAACAUGAGAUUUGAAGGGGACAAAUAUCCAUACUAUAUUAGUUUCUGUGCCCCAAUAAGAUCCAUGAGUCUUGCAGUAACUACUGAAUUACUGUACUCAUUUCUAUCUCCAACGGAUGAGGAAAGUUGGAAUAGAGUCUCCUCCUACAAGUGCAAAUGUUCCUGAGAAGAGUAAAGGUAAUAUAUGUAAAGCUGCUCUGAUGAGCAAUCAGUCAACAACAAUCAGCCAGGAGAAGGGACUGCUUCUAGGAUGAUGCCUUACCACCACUACCUUUCAGUAUAAGGUCCAGCCUAGAGUAGAGGGGGAAACAGAUAUGGAGAAAAUGACCUAAGUCCAACGCAAUUAUGCCGUUCCAGGUAUCUCUCCACCCUCUGACCCCUGGGUCACUAACCAACAGCCGAGAGAAGAUGAUCCCUUGUGGAGGGUGGCUAACCUCACAGCAUGUAUAGGAUUAGAUUACAGAUGAAGAGAAGGUUUUUUCUCAAACUGGACAACUUGCUUUGAUUGAUAGUGAGGCCCUGAAGAUUUAGGAUCGAAUCUGACACUUCAUAUGAACUCAGAGGACAUGGUCCCAGGAUCAUAGGAAAAAGGAAGACUCAUCAGAGAGCUGAAGUUGCAAGGCAAACUAUCAUCCUGAAAUUUGGGAAAACAGAUGCACCAGAGACCAAUAUCUGCUUAUCUGAAGCAGAAGCUGUUAAAGUGCUGAAAACAAAGAAACACUUAAAUGGAUGAUGAAACUCCCAUGGGGCCAGCCACAGCAGUAACCAGACUCAGAAAUGGACAUUCUUCACACUGAGCUGCAUUAACCCAGGGAGAAGAAGAGGAGAGGCAACACGCCAUAUUUUCUAAUGAGUUAAAGCCUAAUUUAAUCUGGAAAUAACUAAUGUUGACUAGUGUGUUUCCCCUAAAAUAAUUGCCUCUGAUGGUCAAUUUUAUAGCUAAACCUAAAAAAGAUGAUUUAGGAAACACUGAGAAGUUCAUCCCUCUUCCCACAAUAAAAAUAUACUUUGCAAUUUAUUAUUACAACUAUCUUUCAAGUUAUUUCCGUGGGUCUAUGUUAUUUUGAGAAACACAGAUUACCCAAAGAAUCUUACUUAACCAGUCAGUGACAUCAGUGACAUUCAGAAUCAAGUGUAUAAGGUUAUAUAUCUAUUUAUCAAUAUUUAUUUUAGUCCAUCAGCUGAUCAUAAAAUAAUAAAGGGCUUCCUCUUUAUUCUACUCCUUGGUAUACCUUAUAAAUUCAAUCCUACUUUCCCUUCAUUUCGCUUUCCCCAAAAUUUUCACUAUGAUUGAAAUUACAUUUACUAUAGCACAUGAAGUCUUUACAAAGGCACCUUUUUCUUCUGUUUUUGCUCACUGUUCACAGUGUAGAAUGUCUAGUAUCCCAUUAAAGUGCUCAAUAAUAAAUGCCUAUCAUACCCAAGGAAUUGUAUGAUCCAAAUGGUGUAAAUAGAUAAAUAUUGUACCCUUUACAUCCAUGGAGAAAAAUUCACUUUGGAGAUUUAUACAGUGGUAUUUCCAGCUCCUAACCCUUUGGAUUCUACAUGCAUUUCCUCCCACUAACUGAUCCACACAUAAUAGAUCCUUCAGCCUGUUAGCAGUGCCCCACUCCUUGAACAUACACUAUGCUCUCUUUUUUUGUUGAAUUUUCUCUUCACUAACAUCCUAUUUAAAACCCAGUCAGCCCUUUAAAAUCUGGCUCAAAUUGGGCUCUAGAUCAAUACAAGUAAAUCUAUCUAAUCAAACACAAAUCUGCUUAAUGCUUAAUUCACCUAAGGAACUAUUUGAAAAAUUUAUUUUGGUAAAACAUAUAACAUUUUCUAUAUAAUGGAUGACUUUUAUCUUUUGGGAAUUUUUGUAUUUUGUAUAUUUGUAUUUUGUAUUUGUAUAUUUGUAUUUUUGUAUAUUUGUAUUUUGCGUGUUUUAAAAAUUUCAGAAUUAUUUAUUCAAUUUACCUAAAUCAUUUCAGCCUUGAUUCCACAUUUUCAGUAUUAUUCAGUUUAAUGCAUUAUGUUGACAAUAAAAUUAUUUAUUUCAAUGUAUU
RNAcentral lists this long non-coding RNA (2817 nucleotides) under Homo sapiens (human). Its description in RNAcentral is "HSALNT0076452". The record is from RNAcentral. Lineage: Eukaryota; Metazoa; Chordata; Mammalia; Primates; Hominidae.